AGUCAAACAGGAUACCUCAUUUUACCUAACAGUAGAAAAUGACUCUCCCAGCACAGCUUUAUGCCAGCCUCAAAUUGCCAGUGCUCAGAGUGAUGGGGAAGUGACAGCAAUGAAGAGGUAUGGACUGGCAAAACUAACAGCAGCAAAGAGAGGACAUUUUAUGGCAGUAAAAAUGCAACUUUCAAUAUCUACCAUUCUGCCUAUUCAUAUUAUGCUCAUCUGAAAACAAAUGUACAUAAAUAACUUUGUGCCAUGUACAUCUUUGAACAAGCUCUCCAUUUUGAAAAGAAGACUUUCAAGAGGUUAAUUGACCUCUUUCUUGAAAGGAAUCUGAACAAACCUCUUACCUGGAACAAGUCUCAACAGAUUAAAUACUUUCUUGCUCUUGGUGGUUUUAUUUUUUUAUUUUUUGACUGAAUCAUUUGUUGUCUUUAGUCAUAAAGACUGUUUCACGCUUGCAGUGAUGAAUAUUAAAACACAGUCAAAAGACA
Gavialis gangeticus (Gharial) is the source of this 491-nucleotide long non-coding RNA. RefSeq lists it as uncharacterized. Lineage: Eukaryota; Metazoa; Chordata; Crocodylia; Gavialidae. The record is from RefSeq and is a predicted model, not a curated record. The transcript is spliced from 4 exons.